This is a long non-coding RNA of Carlito syrichta (Philippine tarsier), 327 nucleotides long. RefSeq lists it as uncharacterized. Lineage: Eukaryota; Metazoa; Chordata; Mammalia; Primates; Tarsiidae. The transcript has 2 exons. The record is from RefSeq and is a predicted model, not a curated record.
UUGAAUGAGGCCCACCCAUACCGUGGAGGGGAAUCUGCUUUACUCAAAAGGCUACUGAAUGAACUGGUAAUCACAUCGAAGAAUCGUCUUUGAAGCAACAUCUAGACUGGUGCUUGACCACUAGGCACCACAGCGUAACCAAGGUGUGAAUCACUGUGCCCAGCUCCUUUUUUCCUGUUUGGACGCUACCUUGGGGCAUCGAAGUUGUUCUGAGAAUGAGUAAACACCGAGAAGGCAGAACCAGAGGAGGAUGAGUGAGAAUCUGGGUCUGCUUCUGUAUUGUGGAGAAUUGUAAGCUCGGAAAUUAGAAUUUUGCUUAAACCUGAA